Molecule: ribosomal RNA, 274 nt
Filed under: uncultured bacterium
Lineage: Bacteria
Description: partial 16S ribosomal RNA
Rfam family: Bacterial small subunit ribosomal RNA
Source: RNAcentral
AUACGGAGGGUGCAAGCGUUAUUCGGAAUUACAGGGCGUAAAGGGUUCGUAGGCGGUUAUUUAAGUCAGAUGUGAAAGCCCCGGGCUCAACCUGGGAAUUGCAUCUGAUACUGGGUAACUAGAGUUUAAGAGAGGAGUGUGGAAUUUCCGGUGUAGCGGUGAAAUGCAUAGAGAUCGGAAGGAACAUCAGUGGCGAAGGCGGCACUCUGGCUUAAAACUGACGCUGAGGAACGAAAGCGUGGGUAGCAAACAGGAUUAGAAACCCUAGUAGUCC